GAUGGCGUAGCCUACACAUGCAAGUCGAACGGCAGCACAGUAAGAGCUUGCUCUUACGGGUGGCGAGUGGCGGACGGGUGAGGAAUGCAUCGGAAUCUACUCUGUCGUGGGGGAUAACGUAGGGAAACUUACGCUAAUACCGCAUACGACCUACGGGUGAAAGCAGGGGAUCUUCGGACCUUGCGCGAUUGAAUGAGCCGAUGCCCGAUUAGCUAGUUGGCGGGGUAAGAGCCCACCAAGGCGACGAUCGGUAGCUGGUCUGAGAGGAUGAUCAGCCACACUGGAACUGAGACACGGUCCAGACUCCUACGGGAGGCAGCAGUGGGGAAUAUUGGACAAUGGGCGCAAGCCUGAUCCAGCCAUACCGCGUGGGUGAAGAAGGCCUUCGGGUUGUAAAGCCCUUUUGUUGGGAAAGAAAAGCAGUCGGUUAAUACCCGAUUGUUCUGACGGUACCCAAAGAAUAAGCACCGGCUAACUUCGUGCCAGCAGCCGCGGUAAUACGAAGGGUGCAAGCGUUACUCGGAAUUACUGGGCGUAAAGCGUGCGUAGGUGGUUGUUUAAGUCUGUCGUGAAAGCCCUGGGCUCAACCUGGGAAUUGCGAUGGAAACUGGGCGACUAGAGUGUGGCAGAGGGUAGUGGAAUUCCUGGUGUAGCAGUGAAAUGCGUAGAGAUCAGGAGGAACAUCCGUGGCGAAGGCGACUGCCUGGGCCAACACUGACACUGAGGCACGAAAGCGUGGGGAGCAAACAGGAUUAGAUACCCUGGUAGUCCACGCCCUAAACGAUGCGAACUGGAUGUUGGGUGCAAUUUGGCACGCACUAUCGAAGCUAACGCGUUAAGUUCGCCGCCUGGGAGUACGGUCGCAGACUGAAACUCAAAGGAAUUGACGGGGGCCCGCACAACCGUGGAGUAUGUGUUUAUUCUAUGCACG
Molecule: ribosomal RNA, 931 nt
Filed under: bacterium HWB4
Lineage: Bacteria
Description: bacterial SSU rRNA
Rfam family: Bacterial small subunit ribosomal RNA
Source: RNAcentral